This 1046-nucleotide ribosomal RNA is filed under the name Neopestalotiopsis acrostichi. RNAcentral describes it as "SSU rRNA". It matches the Rfam family "Eukaryotic small subunit ribosomal RNA", at positions 59 to 1115 of the family's 1831-position model. The record is from RNAcentral. Lineage: Eukaryota; Fungi; Ascomycota; Sordariomycetes; Amphisphaeriales; Sporocadaceae.
CUAAGUAUAAGCAAUUAUACAGCGAAACUGCGAAUGGCUCAUUAAAUCAGUUAUCGUUUAUUUGAUAGUACCUUACUACUUGGAUAACCGUGGUAAUUCUAGAGCUAAUACAUGCUAAAAACCCCGACUCACGAAGGGGUGUAUUUAUUAGAUUAAAAACCAAUGCCCUUCGGGGCUCUUUGGUGAUUCAUAAUAACUUUUCGAAUCGCAUGGCCUUGCGCCGGCGAUGGUUCAUUCAAAUUUCUGCCCUAUCAACUUUCGAUGGCAGGGUCUUGGCCUGCCAUGGUUACAACGGGUAACGGAGGGUUAGGGCUCGACCCCGGAGAAGGAGCCUGAGAAACGGCUACUACAUCCAAGGAAGGCAGCAGGCGCGCAAAUUACCCAAUCCCGAUUCGGGGAGGUAGUGACAAUAAAUACUGAUACAGGGCUCUUUUGGGUCUUGUAAUUGGAAUGAGUACAAUUUAAAUCCCUUAACGAGGAACAAUUGGAGGGCAAGUCUGGUGCCAGCAGCCGCGGUAAUUCCAGCUCCAAUAGCGUAUAUUAAAGUUGUUGCAGUUAAAAAGCUCGUAGUUGAACCUUGGGCCUGGCUGGCCGGUCCGCCUCACCGCGUGCACUGGUUCGGCCGGGCCUUUCCCUCUGGGGAACCUCAUGGUCUUCACUGAUCGUGAUGGGGAACCAGGACUUUUACUGUGAAAAAAUUAGAGUGUUCAAAGCAGGCCUAUGCUCGAAUACAUUAGCAUGGAAUAAUAAAAUAGGACGUGUGGUUCUAUUUUGUUGGUUUCUAGGACCGCCGUAAUGAUUAAUAGGGACAGUCGGGGGCAUCAGUAUUCAAUUGUCAGAGGUGAAAUUCUUGGAUUUAUUGAAGACUAACUACUGCGAAAGCAUUUGCCAAGGAUGUUUUCAUUAAUCAGGAACGAAAGUUAGGGGAUCGAAGACGAUCAGAUACCGUCGUAGUCUUAACCAUAAACUAUGCCGACUAGGGAUCGGACGGUGUUACUUAUUGACCCGUUCGGCACCUUACGAGAAAUCAAAGGUCUUUGGGGUCU